GUAACUUAACCAAUGCGCCACCCGGGAGGCCUGUUGGACAGUAACUUAACCACUGCGCCACCCGGGAGGCCUGUUGGACAGUAACUUAACCAAUGCGCCACCCGGGAGGCCUGUUGGACAGUAACUUAACCACUGCGCCACCCGGGAGGCCUGUUGGACAGUAACUUAACCACUGCGCCACCCGGGAGGCCUGUUGGACAGUAACUUAACCACUGCGCCACCCGGGAGGCCUGUUGGACAGUAACUUAACCACUGCGCCACCCGGGAGGCCUGUUGGACAGUAACUUAACCAAUGCGCCACCCGGGAGGCCUGUUGGACAGUAACUUAACCAAUGCGCCACCCGGGAGGCCUGUUGGACAGUAACUUAACCACUGCGCCACCCGGGAGGCCUGUUGGACAGUAACUUAACCAAUGCGCCACCCGGGAGGCCUGUUGGACAGUAACUUAACCACUGCGCCACCCGGGAGGCCUGUUGGACAGUAACUUAACCACUGCGCCACCCGGGAGGCCUGUUGGACAGUAACUUAACCCUGACAAAUGGCUCCUAUUCACCCGGAAUCAUUCAUGCACUCUGAGGCAGUCCCCUAUGCCUAAACACAAUGCACAUAUAUUCACCCUAACCCAUAACAGGAUCAUUACUACGGAUUAUUCUAGAAAAGGUUCUUGAGUCAUAACAGCCUCCAACAGCACCAUUGUAUUUUAUCUUACCGUGUUGAGAAAAGCUUUCUCCAGCAUUCUGCUAUUUUUAUACUGAGAGAUACAUGUCUACACCUCAAACAAAGAAAAACCGCUUAUGAUCGGCGGAUAUUUUAUUUUGAUUGAACCUUUAUCUAGGCAAGUCAGUUGAGAACAAAUUCUUAUUUACAAUGGCGGCCUACCAAAAGGCAGAAAGGCCUGAGGGGCCUGGGAUUAAAAAUAAAAAUAUCUUUUAUGGUUUUAUUUGGUAAAUCAAGUGAGGUUGGUUCCAUAAAACAUAUAUAUAUACAAAUUACACUUCAGAGGUUAAUGUUUGUGACUAUAUAAAGCACAUUACAUUUGCAUAUCAGUCAACACAUUGACAGACCGGUCUUGGGGAUUUAACCAGAAGCUAACUAAAUGCUAUUGUCGGUACAUAGAUUACAAUAGAGUUCUAACCAUUAGACUACGUGUAUGUGCCUGGUUACCCAGGAACCGAACAGAAGGGACCAGGGGAAAAACAAACACAGAUCAUUAUGUUCCUGAAGUGCUUUUAUCUUUACACUGAGCAGCAGUUUUUCCAGGUCACUGGGUAGUUGUGUUGGGAACAUCACAGAGAGAGAACCCAGGCAACAGAUUUCUGCUGCCUGUCUCUCUCUAGCUCUGAACCAGGCUACAGAUUUCUGCUGCCUGUCUCUCUCUAGCUCUGAACCAGGCAACAGGUUUCUGCUGCCUGUCUCUCUCUCUAGCUCUGAACCAGGCUACAGAUUUCUGCCUGGCAACCAGCCAGUAUCAGGAGAAAAGGGGAACAUCUUGUCCCUUCAGUGGUGCUGCACAGAGAAGAACAGGCUGCGGACAAGUUAUGAAACGAAGAAAGGUUGUGAGGGGGGAAAUUAAUAAAAGAAAGAGGAGAGUAGGGGCAGAGGGGGGUAUAACUGGACUGUGUGUUUGAUUGAAUUCACAUCGUAUACCAAUGUAUGGAAUAAUAUACAAAGGGGGGUCUUUUCAAUCCAUAUCGAGGAAGUUCAGCGUUACGGCGUGAUUUACAUUUUAAAAGGCGAUGUUCACGGUAAAACGCUGAAAUAUGUCGGCUCAAUCAGAAAUGGCCUUUAAGUUUCGAUAGUGUGCGAUCUGUAACGCUUCGGCGAAUAGAGGUUGAAUAAAGGCUGACGUCUGUUUUAGAGAGCGCUUGCAGAAAUCGCUUAUUUUUUCUUUCUUCUCACCCUUCUGCCUUCAACGAAAUAGGAGUCAGGGUAGGAUAGGAAGUGACGCAAAAUGUAAAACAGGUCCAACAGCGACUGGCUUGAUCAAGUCCAUAUUUCUGUGCUGAGAGGACAGACAGAGUGGAAGGUGUCUUCUCUCUCUUGUCUUUCUUUUGGAGUCUUUUCCCUUUGUGUGUUUCAACCUGUUGAUUGGUGGUGGUGUGUCUCUACUGGACCGCUCUGUUGGCUGGGGGUGCCGGGUGAGGGUGGGCUGGAGGGGUGGUGGUGUGUCUCUACUGGACCGCUCUGUUGGCUGGGGGUGCCGGGUGAGGGUGGGCUGGAGGGGUGGUGGGCUGGGGCGCUGGACCGGGGUGCUGGACUGGGGGCGCCGGGUGAGGGUGGGCUGGAGGGGUGGUGGGCUGGGGCGCUGGACCGGGGUGCUGGACUGGGGGCGCUGGGUGAGGGUGGGCUGGAGGGGUGGUGGGCUGGGGGCGCUGGACGGGAAGGUGCGUGGUUUGGGGCUCCCCAGAACCACACUGACCCACCAUCCUUUAGAUAUCCCCCUGCUCCUGGGAACCCUGAGGAGGAUAUGAAGUGGAGGUUAGUAAAUCCCCCUGCUCCUGGGAACCCUGAGGAGGAUAUGAAGUGGUUAGUAAAUCCCCCUGCUCCUGGGAACCCUGAGGAGGAUAUGAAGUGGUUAGUAAAUCCCCCCCUGCUCCUGGGAACCCUGAGGAGGACACUCAAAAGAGGUGCUGGUACUCAAGUAGUAACAAAUGACAGGUGACAAUACAAAGUACAAGACAGACAGCACCAGUCUAGUUGAACCACUGUGUGAUGUCAUCAUUAAAGGAGUAGUGUGGAGAAUAUGAUGGUUCAGUCACCUGGUUGUGUUGACAUGGUCACCCAGACCAGUACUUGGAGCAUCGACCAAUCAGAGAGGCUGUAGACUGCAGUAGGCUUUAUACUCUCUGUAGGGCUUGUUGUGUCUAUGGAAAGAGAUACAACAGUGACUAUCCGGAGAGGGAUAAAACAGUGACUAUAAGGAGAGAGAUAAAACAGUGACUAUAUGGAGAGAGAUAAAACAGUGACUAUAUGGAGAGAGAUAAAACAGUGACUAUAUGGAGAGAGAUAAAACAGUGACUAUAUGGAGAGAGAUAAAACAGUGACUAUAUGGAGAGAGAUAAAACAGUGACUAUAAGGAGAGAGAUAAAACAGUGACUAUAUGGAGAGAGAUAAAACAGUGACUAUAGAGAGAUAAAACAGUGACUAUAUGGAGAGAGAUAAAACAGUGACUAUAUGGAGAGAGAUAAAACAGUGACUAUAUGGAGAGAGAUAAAAAGGUGACUAUAUGGAGAGAUAAAACAGUGACUUUAGAGAGAGAGAUAAAACAGUGACUAUAUGGAGAGAGAUAAAACAGUGACUACAGAGAGAGAUAAAACAGUGACUCUACGGAGAUAGAUGAAACAGUGACUAUCACAUUUCAGAUAAGCACAUUCACAUGCAGCUUUUCAGAGACAUUCCUGGUUGCUCAGUCUAUCUGUAUCAGUGGGGAACCGUCAGGGCCUUCUAGGCCUUCCUCAAGGAUUUAUGCAGAUGUAUGUUUUUUUUAAAUGUAAAUGUUGUUUUAAUUUCUAUUUAAUCUUUAAAAUAAUCUUAAUAAUCAUCAUCUGAUUUCAUCUUCAGAUUUUCUUUAGCUAGCUUGUGUUGUAGUAGUGUCAUAAUGUUAGCUAACUUGUGUUGUAGUAGUGUCAUAAUGUUAGCUAGCUUGUGUUGUAGUAGUGUCAUAAUGUUAGCUAACUUGUGUUGUAGUAGUGUCAUAAUGUUAGCUAGCUUGUGUUGUAGUAGUGUCAUAAUGUUAGCUAGCUUGUGUUGUAGUAGUGUCACGAUGUUAGCUAGCUUGUGUGUAGUAGUGUCAUAAUGUCAGCUAGCUUGUGUUGUAGUAGUGUCACAAUGAAGAUGGCUGCAGCAACUGUUAUCAGCUUCAAAGUGGUGUUAAGCUACCAUAGGUUGUGUAAACAGUGUGCUUUUUGUUUUGUUGGUCGCAUUAUUUUAUGCUGUGUGUCAUUUUGUGCCCAUGCCGGUUCGGUCUCUGUGUGUGAGGCAGCCAGGAGCGGUGGCCAGGCCUGUUCGAUUCAUUCAUAAUGACAUCAAAAAAAUCACUGCUCCUACUUCACUACAACUAGAAUGGUCCAACUACAGAAGAUAUGAUGCACUAAGUGAUGCUAUGUUUUCCGUUAUUUUCUUGAUAUUUGAGUUUGAUACAACACAUUGUUGCCACCCCUAUUACUAGCCUGUUCAACCUCUCUUUCGUGUCGUCUGAGAUUCCCAAAGAUUGGAAAGCAGCUGCGGUCAUCCCCCUCUUCAAAGGGGGGGACACUCUUGACCCAAACUGCUACAGACCUAUAUCUAUC
This is a long non-coding RNA of Oncorhynchus tshawytscha (Chinook salmon), 4289 nucleotides long. Lineage: Eukaryota; Metazoa; Chordata; Actinopteri; Salmoniformes; Salmonidae. The record is from Ensembl.